AGAGUUUGAUCCUGGCUCAGAUUGAACGCUGGCGGCAUGCCUAACACAUGCAAGUCGCACGCGAAAGGGGGCAACCCCGAGUAGAGUGGCGGACGGGUGCGUAAUACGCAGGAAUCUACCCACGAGUGGGGGACAACCCGGGGAAACCCGGGCUAAUACCGCAUGAGACCUACGGGUGAAAGCGGGGGAUCGCAAGACCUCGCGCUGGUGGAUGAGCCUGCGUCCGAUUAGCUAGUUGGUAGGGUAAAAGCCUACCAAGGCAACGAUCGGUAGCUGGUCUGAGAGGACGACCAGCCACACUGGGACUGAGACACGGCCCAGACUCCUACGGGAGGCAGCAGUGGGGAAUAUUGGACAAUGGGGGCAACCCUGAUCCAGCAAUGCCGCGUGUGUGAAGAAGGCCUUCGGGUUGUAAAGCACUUUCGAUGGGGACAAACGUGUCGGGCUUAAUACGUCCGGCCUUGAUGGUACCUAGAGAAGAAGCACCGGCUAACUCUGUGCCAGCAGCCGCGGUAAUACAGAGGGUGCAAGCGUUAAUCGGAAUUACUGGGCGUAAAGCGUGCGUAGGUGGUUGGAUAAGUCAGGUGUGAAAUCCCCGAGCUUAACUUGGGAAUUGCGCUUGAUACUGUCCGGCUAGAGUGUGGUAGAGGGUAGUGGAAUUCCGCAUGUAGCGGUGAAAUGCGUAGAUAUGCGGAGGAACAUCAGUGGCGAAGGCGGCUACCUGGACCAACACUGACACUGAGGCACGAAAGCGUGGGUAGCAAACAGGAUUAGAUACCCUGGUAGUCG
This 789-nucleotide ribosomal RNA is filed under the name uncultured bacterium. RNAcentral's name for it is "bacterial SSU rRNA". It matches the Rfam family "Bacterial small subunit ribosomal RNA", at positions 8 to 796 of the family's 1533-position model. The record is from RNAcentral.